This 520-nucleotide ribosomal RNA is filed under the name uncultured Glomus. RNAcentral describes it as "SSU rRNA". It matches the Rfam family "Eukaryotic small subunit ribosomal RNA", at positions 569 to 1092 of the family's 1831-position model. The record is from RNAcentral. Lineage: Eukaryota; Fungi; Glomeromycota; Glomeromycetes; Glomerales; Glomeraceae.
AGCAGCCGCGGUAAUUCCAGCUCCAAUAGCGUAUAUUAAAGUUGUUGCAGUUAAAAAGCUCGUAGUUGAAUUUCGGGAUCAAUAUGUUGGUCGUGCCUUGGUACGUACUGGCAUUAUCGAUUCCUACCUUCUGAAGAACCUCGAUGUCAUUAAUUUGGUGUCUUGGGGAAUCAGGACUGUUACUUUGAAAAAAUUAGAGUGUUUAAAGCAAGCUAACGCUUGAAUACAUUAGCAUGGAAUAAUGGAAUAGGACGUUCGAUCCUAUUUUGUUGGUUUCUAGGAUUGACGUAAUGAUUAAUAGGGAUAGUUGGGGGCAUUAGUAUUCAAUUGUCAGAGGUGAAAUUCUUGGAUUUAUUGAAGACUAACUACUGCGAAAGCAUUUGCCAAGGAUGUUUUCAUUAGUCAAGAACGAAAGUUAGGGGAUCGAAGACGAUCAGAUACCGUCGUAGUCUUAACCAUAAACUAUGCCGACUAGGGAUCGGAUGAUGUUAAUUUUUAAUGACUCAUUCGGCGCCUUAAC